UAGUGGCGAACGGGUGCGUAACACGUGAGCAACCUGCCCCGGAGACCGGGAUAACAGCGGGAAACUGCUGCUAAUACCGGAUGUCCCCACGAACCCGCAUGAGUUUGUGAGGAAAUGGAUUCCGCUCCGGGAGGGGCUCGCGGCCUAUCAGCUUGUUGGUGGGGUAACGGCCUACCAAGGCGUCGACGGGUAGCUGGUCUGAGAGGACGAUCAGCCACACUGGGACUGAGACACGGCCCAGACUCCUACGGGAGGCAGCAGUAGGGAAUCUUGCGCAAUGGGCGAAAGCCUGACGCAGCAACGCCGCGUGGGGGAUGAAGGCCUUCGGGUUGUAAACUCCUUUUAGUGGGAACGAAAAUGACGGUACCCACAGAAUAAGCUCCGGCCAACUACGUGCCAGCAGCCGCGGUAAUACGUAGGGAGCGAGCGUUGUCCGGAAUUAUUGGGCGUAAAGAGCUCGUAGGCGGCUUGGUAAGUUGGAUGUGAAACCUCCAGGCUUAACCUGGAGUCGCCAUCCAAUACUGCCAUGGCUAGAGUCUGGUAGGGGUCCACGGAAUUCCUGGUGUAGCGGUGAAAUGCGCAGAUAUCAGGAGGAACACCGGUGGCG
RNAcentral lists this ribosomal RNA (607 nucleotides) under uncultured bacterium. RNAcentral describes it as "bacterial SSU rRNA". It matches the Rfam family "Bacterial small subunit ribosomal RNA", at positions 93 to 717 of the family's 1533-position model. The record is from RNAcentral.